CACGUAGGGGGCGAGCGUUGUCCGGAUUUAUUGGGCGUAAAGAGCUCGUAGGCGGUUCGAUAAGUCGGGUGUGAAAACUCUGGGCUCAACUCAGAUACGCCACCCGAUACUGUUGUGACUUGAGUCCGGUAGGGGAGUAUGGAAUUCCCGGUGUAGCGGUGAAAUGCGCAGAUAUCGGGAGGAACACCAGUGGCGAAGGCGGUACUCUGGGCCGGAACUGACGCUGAGGAGCGAAAGCGUGGGUAGCGAACAGG
Molecule: ribosomal RNA, 254 nt
Filed under: uncultured bacterium
Lineage: Bacteria
Description: partial 16S ribosomal RNA
Rfam family: Bacterial small subunit ribosomal RNA
Source: RNAcentral